This 729-nucleotide long non-coding RNA is filed under the name Prunus persica (peach). RNAcentral's name for it is "long non-coding RNA (PPER_LNC005220)". Lineage: Eukaryota; Viridiplantae; Streptophyta; Magnoliopsida; Rosales; Rosaceae. The record is from RNAcentral.
AAGCGAUACUGAAGAUGAGAGAUUCGAAUCAAGAACUUAAGUGCAAAAAUAAUUGUUCUUACAAACCUCUUAUUAUUUUUAUUUUUUUGUUGAAUUGUAUUAUUUUAUAUUUUAUUGGUCUAGUAAGAUUGGUGUCAUGCUAUGCUAUGUUAGCGGAUCUGUGGAUGUUAUUGUUGAGUUGAAUUCAAAAUCCAAAAAAAAUUAUUAUAACAAACAAAAUCAUAAUGCAAGUUGCAACCAUAUUUAAUUAAUAUAUAUGUACCUUUGCUUCAGAUUUCAACCAAGUUGCUGAUUUUUGUGUAUAAAAUAAUUGAUUUUCUAAAGAUCUGAGUUUGAAUUUGAUCAUUGGUGGUGUGUAUAGGAUCGAUAAAUUCUAAAACUGAUCAAGAACUCAAAAACCAAGUUCCUGGUCAUCAUAAAAGACUUUCCAAGAUUAGAAAGCUAAAUAGAUUCUCAGCUGCUUUUUUAUAAAUAAAUAAAAAAAAAGAAAAACCAUGGCUGGCACACACCAAACCCUAAGUAAACCGGGAAGAAUCUGCGUUGUGUGGAAAAAUAAUUAAGAUUUGAGAGAUUCACUAUUAUACCUAAUAUGAGAGCCUAAAUUAUAAAAAUACCUCAUAUGAAAUGGACUUUAAAAAUACACCCAAAGUCCAUUUACAACAUAACAAAGAGGCUUCUAAAUUCUUAUAAAUUACAAAACUGUCAUCGAUUUCUUAAAACAAGUUCAAC